UGGCGGACGGGUGAGUAAUGUCUGGGAAACUGCCUGAUGGAGGGGGAUAACUACUGGAAACGGUAGCUAAUACCGCAUAACGUCGCAAGACCAAAGAGGGGGACCCUCGGGCCUCUUGCCAUCGGAUGUGCCCAGAUGGGAUUAGCUUGUUGGUGGGGUAACGGCUCACCAAGGCGACGAUCCCUAGCUGGUCAGAGAGGAUGACCAGCCACACUGGAACUGAGACACGGUCCAGACUCCUACGGGAGGCAGCAUG
RNAcentral lists this ribosomal RNA (256 nucleotides) under uncultured bacterium. RNAcentral describes it as "partial 16S ribosomal RNA". It matches the Rfam family "Bacterial small subunit ribosomal RNA", at positions 96 to 353 of the family's 1533-position model. The record is from RNAcentral.